Molecule: long non-coding RNA, 6747 nt
Filed under: Sus scrofa (pig)
Lineage: Eukaryota; Metazoa; Chordata; Mammalia; Artiodactyla; Suidae
Description: lncRNA (ENSSSCG00025007989.1)
Source: RNAcentral
GGCAGAGGGAGGAAGGGAGAGCAUGAUGAAGGAACAAGGUGCAGUGAUUCUCUGCAUGAAUGGAGAGACUGGCUUUAAUUUGGACAGAGUGUCUCUCUGCAGUGAGAGGAAGGAAGGCUGAAGGUGUGGGUGCAGAUAUGUGUUAACAGGAGGUGGGGUUGCAGCAUCCGAGAAAGUUAUCUUCUGCGCAGAAGGAUGAAGGAGGAAGAGUUGGAGUCUGAGGAUGGAGGCUCAGCCAGGAGACGGGACCAUCAGUCUUACAUCCUUGGCUGGCGGACAGAGUGGAUUUUCUGACAGGAGCUGUGUUAUGCACUGGGCAACAUCUACCCUCCCUCACUAACCACUUCUCAUCUGGACUGUCACUGUAGAAUGUGUGGGAUCCAGAAUCCUUCUAUUAAGAAUACCUUCAGGAGUCUAUGCAGAGACCACAGACAGGAAAUGUUCCUGACAAUCUCUCGUUAUGUGACGCCUUGUCACCUGCUUCACCUCCCCCAACCUGUAUAACUGUUGCAGUUCCAUUCCCUGCAGAAGGAAACAAGAAGGAAGGUAAUUAUCAUAUUUAAUUUAUAUAUGAGGAAAUGUGUAAUAAUAUCUGAUUGUUGGGCUUAGACUUGAAUUUAGUUUUUUAUUCCAGUGGAGGUUUGUUAAGUAUUUGGCAUACUACCUCAUUUCUCAAAUUUAUCUUUCGAAUUCUCUACAUCUGCUAGAAGAAAAUGUUAAGGAGAUAAAUGCCGAAUUUCCAUCUUGAGCUGUCUUUAGCGCCAUCCACCUGCCAUCUGUAAUUGUGGCUGUUUGCAGGUUCAGCACCACCUGAGUCCACAUCAGUGACAUCGCUGCUCUAGUGUUAGUUUAUUUUCGCUUUGGAAGUGUUCCCCAUACAGCCAGGCCUUUUAGCUGUAUAGCUUCUAGCUUAGGGUCUGUGUGACUAGAAACAAGUAGAAAUAGUCUCUUGAAAAUUAGUCAUAAUCAUAAAGUUUAUACAAGCUAAGAAGACCUCAAAGCAAUUUUUUUCCAUAUGCAACAGAACAAUGGUACUGAUUUAGUCUUAUUUGAGAAUUGAUUUAUAAUUCAUAAGUGAAAAAAUGUGAGAGAGUGAAUUGAAAAGUCGUAACAGUCACAUCUUUUUGUCUUUUUGCCUUUUCUAGGGCCACUCCCGCUGCAUAUGAAGAUUCCCAGGCUAGGGGUCUAAUCGGAGCUGUAGCCACCAGCCUACAGCAGAGCCACAGCAACAUGGGAUCCGAGCUGGGUCUGUGACCUACACCACAGUUCAUAGCAACGCCGUUCCUUUACCCACUGAGGGAGGCCAGGGAUCGAACCUGCAACCUCAUGGUUCCUAGUCGGAUUCAUUAACCACUGAGCCAUGAUGGGAACUCCCAUAACAGUCACUUCUAAUUCCUCUAUGCAAGUCAGGUACUUCUCUUUCAAAUUAAUUGUGACUGACUCUGGUACAGUGAAUAAUGCCACACACACGCACACACACACACGCACACACACACCCCAAAGAUGUCCCUGUUGUCUUCUCUAAAACCUGAGAAUGUGUUACCAAACAUGAUAUAAGGGACUUUUCAAGUAGGGGUUAAAGUAAAUAGUUUGUGAUGGAGAAGUUAUCCUGGAUUCUGUGGGUGGGUCAUGUAGUUAAAAGGGUCCUCUCUCUUAUACGUGAAGCAAGAGAAUCAGAGUUAUAUACGGAAGGUAAUGGGAUGACUGAAACAGAGAGAAAGAGACUUUUGAAGAUUCAGCCAUGCUGGCUUUGAAGAUAAAAGAAGGAACCAUUCUCCAAAGAAUACCCAUGGCCAUCACGAGCUGGAAAAGGCAAGGAAACAGCUUCUUCCGUAGAGCCUCUAGAAGGAACACAGCCUUACCAACACUUUAAUUUUAGCCAGUGAAAGCCAUUCUGGACAUCUGACCUCUAGAGCUACAAUAUUAUAAAUAUGUGUUGUCGAAGCCAACAUAUUUGUGGGUAAUUUAUUAUAACAUCAGUGAGAGACUAGUACAUUCAUUAAUGAUGAUUAGGGGAAGUGUAGAGCUUAGGAUCACACACUCUGGGUCUGGCUUGUCUGGGUUUGAGUUUUGACUCAGCCUAUUGUACUGUCGUGUGACCUUUAGUAAAUUAUUUAUACUCUCUGUGACUAAGUUUCCUUAUCUUUAAAAUGGGUAUGCUUAUGUAGCAUUGAUAUAAACAUUAAAUUAACUAGUUGAUUAAAAGAGCUGAGAAUAAUGCCUUCUACAAAAUAAGUGGUCAAUAAAUGUUAGCCAUUUGAGGAGAAAUAACAAGAGUUAACUAAUGCUUGAAUUAGGGGAAUUUUGCUUCAGAUAAUGCUUAGUGAUAGGAUUUUAAAGCUAGUCUAAUUGAUCUCCAUCUUUUCACAUGAAGGAUGUAGUAGAUGCCAUGUUUGUAUAUCUCUUUGUUUUUUUAGGGUCGCACGCACAGCAUAUGGAAGUUCCCAGGCUAGGGUCACAUCAGACCCAUAGCUGCCAGCAUACACCACAGCCACAGCAAUGUGAGAUCCGAGCUGUGUCUGUGACCUACACCACAGCUCAUGUCAACAACAGAUCCUUAACCUGAGCAAGGCCAGGGAUUGAACCUGCAUCCUUAUGGAUACUAGUCAGGUUUGUUAACCACUGAGCCACAAUGGGAACUCCUGUCUCUUAAUUUCCUAUCAAUUUUAAUUCUCAUCAUGUGCUAAGAUGAUUCUACUUAUGCUUAGUUCUUUAGCUAUGCAUGGGAGUUGUUUGACUUCUGAACUCUAGAUUACUAAGUAAAAUAAUAUAUUCAUCUAUACAGAGUUUGUUAAUACUUAUAUUUGUGGGUUUUAAUCCAUUUCACCAAACUCUUUUUGUCUUAGGCAAAGUAUCAUUAAAAAAGAUAAUAAUCCUUGGUUUUCAUGCCAUUUACUGGUUUAAUGAGAGAAAGAGUAAAUGUAUUAGAAGCAGUAAGAGAAGAAGAAUUUGGUUGCCUUCAAGUGCCUCUUUGGAAAGUUUAUCGAUAGAAAAUGUGUGGUUUCUUACCAUGUGAUAAGAUGUCCUUAUGGUAUGGAUUUCAGAAGGAUGGAUGCUAAGAAAAACUGAAGUUUAUUCUAGUCAUGUUUGAAGAAAACUUUCAGAGUCCUGAGUUGGAGAUGCAAUAAUGACAACCGAUUAUGUGACAAAGCCACUUUGCAGUACUUUAUGAAUAUCAAAAAUGGAGAAACAAUUUAAAAAAAUCAGAUGAGCACAAAGUGAUUCUUUGUUUCCAGGAUAAUAGAUUAUCCUGGUUGGUGAGAGAAACAAAAAAAGAGAGAGAGAGAGAGAAAGAAUUGCAUCAUUUUUUUUCUCCUAAAACUUGCAAAGAUACUUUAAUUUUGAACAAUCAUCCAUUUCUUCCUUCAUAGUGAAUAUCUCUUUAUCACUAUCAUCCCCAAAACAAAAUAGUCAAGGAGUAGUAGUAGAAUAGUAAAGACUCAAGGAAAAAUGCUGGCAAUGAAACCAGCCAGGGAAUCAAACUACUGGGGAACUAAAAACCCAGAGAGAGACAAACCUUUUUUGUGAUGGGCCAGUGAGUCCCAAAUUACUGUAGAAAAGUAAGAAGCAUUUCUCUGAACAUAUUACAGAAAACAUCUGGACCAAAAGGACUGGGCUUAAUUCCCUAUAAUUUGUUUUCUUCCUGAUUUCUUUGCAAGGAUUUUUUUGAUCAGAAGGAUCACUGAAAUAAUUUUAUACCACAGCUAGCCAGCAGUAAAAUCACACUGUAAUUGAUAUUGAAGUAACCUAAUUGUUUUUUUCUGGUUUAUUCCCCAAAGUCAUAUUUAAUUUGCUGUAUUGUCACAAGGAAUUUCAAGAAAGAAAAAAAGAUGUGAAGAAUUCUUUAUUUUCUGAAAAUUUAUUGUACAGUAGGUCGAGUUAGGCACUGGGCUGGUCACUGGAAUGUGUUAAAAUAAUCACUUUUAAUGACACAUGAACAAGUUAAAAACAUUGCUGUAGUCAAAUAAUUUGUUUACUACUUGUACAUGUAGCAAAGCAACUAUAUGGAAAGGCUAAGGUAAGGAAAUAGCCAGCUUCCAAGCUGAGGACAAAAAACAGGCAGUAAAACAAUAAGGAAGUUUCGAGAAAGGCACCUGGUGCAGCUCACAAAUCAUGAAUAGGUCUUUUCAGGUCUGAAACCAUAGAAACCCACAAAUAUUGCAGAUACCACGAGUUGCUGAAUUUCAUGGGUUUUCUCUAAAAUGAUUAAAAGUUUUCCCUUUUCUUACUAUUGAAUGAUUAUCUUAGGGAGUCAACAAUUUUGACAGCUUUGACAUAUUUGUAUUGGUAUUCUUCUAGGAGAAAUAGUCAUUUAGAAAAUAUUCCAACUGUAACAAAAUGGAUUUGGAAAAAAAAAAUACCCACUGAGACCCCUAAACCUCCAUGUCAAAUAAGAAAGAGCCAUCAAUGUGUUUGCUGCUCCACUUGUGGGGCUAAUCUGCCCGCUUAGCCUUACAGGAUGGUCAGAGUAGUUAAUUAAGAGCCAGGGGAACUGGGUUCUAUAGAGCAGAGAGCAGUUCACGGUGAAUGCAGGGUGAGGUAGCUUAUGGCUAGUGCUAACACAUUAAUCCCAAAUCAGUUAACCAGUAGAGUUUAAAGAACAACAACAUCUAAAUUGGGCUUUGAAUAAUUGAUGACAGCAGCUGAACUAUUAAAGGAAAAUGUCUCUUUCCUCUAGGAAGCCUAUAUGCCUAUAAUUGCUAAGCUUAUUUUCUCUCUGAUAGGAUACAGGUUCUCCCAAGAAUAUUUUCUUCCCUCUGAAACAUGAAGAGGAGCUCCAGUGACAUAUUUUUGAUGAAAGUGAUAGAAAAAUUAUAUGCUUUAAAAAGGCUGCCAGAUUAACUGAAUUGACUUAAAAAAAUCAUGCCCUUAAUUUUUCUGUUCAUGUCAGUACACAGCAGGAAAGACAGAAAUUAAAAAUUCCCUUUAUGCUGAGGGCUGUUGGGUGUGAGAGUGGGAUUAUGAAGGUGACUACCACAAAACAAAUUUUCGAUAUAAAAAGGAAAUUCUUUUAAAUCACAUCAAAAGACAGGUUUUUAAAAUACAGUAAUUACAAAGAAUCUUCGAAAGAAUUGAGCAUAACUCAUUACAAACUUGUAAAUUCAUUUCCUCUGAUGAAACAAUAAUCUUUCUAACCUCAUAACUCUUUCUAACCUUCAGAAAGUGUUAUUUGCAGAAUAAUUCCUGCAAAACUAUGAAACAAUGCAUAAUGCAAGUGACACUAAUUUUUCCUAUUUUCUCUUUUUCAUGUAUAUUGCAGAUGUCCAUAGGAACAGUUAAUGUUGGACUUUUGAAACUAGUGAUGGGGGUAAAAGAACAAGGAAUAGAGUUUGGGAAUAACUGAUCAGCAGAUAUAUUACAAUAAAGUUAGGGAUGUGGGAUGUUGACAUGCUAAAUGAAGAGCACAAAACCUGCAGCAUCAGGUUUUACAGACAUCAUGAGAAAAGGUUGGACAUGGUAAAAUUGCAAGUCAAAAGUCUGAGUAUUUACAUGCCUCUGUUUACAAACGUGUGAACAGUGUCUUAGAAUUCUCUGGUAAUCUUCUAGCCAUCACUUGUCUUACUCUUUUAUGUAAAAAGCACAGUUAAAAUUGGUAGUAUGUUCCCUCAUUCAUAUAUAAAAUGCUUAUUGUGUGCUAAGUUCUUAAGACAUUUGGGAUACCUCAUAUAUAAAAUGCUGAUUGUGUGCUAAGUUCUUAAGGCAUUUGGGAUACCUCAGUCAACAAAGCAGAAAAGAUCCCUCUGCAAAGCAUACAUUGGAGUGGGACGUGUAGAUAGUAAGUAGAGUAAAGACGUUGUAAGUUGUUAUAUCCUCUUGAAGAAAGGAAAACCUGGGGGUAAGAGAGAGCUGUGGUAAGAGAGCUUGGGGUUUGGGUUAUAAUUUUGAUAAGGAAAGGGAGCCUUACUGAGAACGUGGGUAAAGAGCAUAGUGAAGUUGAAGGAAUUGAGGAAGUACCCCAUUGAAAUAUCUGAGAAAGAUCUCUACAGGCAAAAGGGAUAACACCAAGGCAGAAGACUGCCUGCUUAUUUCUGCUACAGCAAGAAGGCCAGUGUGCUGGAGCAAUGAAAGCAGGUUCGAUGGUUUUAGGUCAGAAAUGUAGCUGUCUGCCAGAUCUUUGUUUUUAUGUCAUUAUAAGGAUUUUAGUUUUUAUUCUCUUUUUAAAAAUUUUUGUUAUAAUUGAUUUACAAUGUUCCUUCAAUUUCUGCUGUAAAGCAAAGAGACCCAGCCAUAUAUAUAUCUAUGUGGUAUAUAUACAUACAUAUAUAUAUAUAUAUACACAUACACACAUUAUUUUUUCCUUUCAUACUACCUUCCAUUCCAUCAUGUUCUAACCAAAGAGAAUGGACUUAGUUCCCUGUACUGUACUCUAGGACCCCAUUGUUUAGCAUUCCAAAUGUAAGAGUUUGUCUUCUAACCCUAAACUCCUUAUCCAUCCACUUCCCUCUGCUUCUCCCCACUGGCAACCACAAGUCUCCUUUCCAUGUCCUUGCUCUGUUUCUGUUUUGUAUAUAGGAUCAUUUUUGUUAUAUCUUAGAUAAAAUAGGAAACUAACAGCUCAUUGGUUCUAAAAGUAUGUUCUCCAAACCAGCAGAACCAGCAUCAUCUGGGAAAUUGUCGGAAAUAUGAAUUCUUAGGUCUCACUGGCCCAUCAGACUUUGUUUGAAUAAAAUGCUCCAAGUGAUUCAGAUAAAUAUUUAAGUUGUAGAACCAGUCCACUAGAUGAUUCUAAGCCAAAAAAAAAAAAAA